UUUCAGUUUCUUCAGGUCAAGACAAGUCACUUUUAUAUCUAUAUCACAUUUAAAAAACAACUCUCAUUGGCCAAAGUGUUUUACAUUGGUGGAGGUACUAACGUUAUAUAACAUUGGUUCAUAGA
Molecule: long non-coding RNA, 125 nt
Organism: Amblyraja radiata (thorny skate)
Lineage: Eukaryota; Metazoa; Chordata; Chondrichthyes; Rajiformes; Rajidae
Exons: 3
Source: RefSeq, a predicted model, not a curated record